CCUACUGCCAGUUGUAUUCCUUCAUUCUACCAUGGGAGACAGGUCCUUCCAUAUCUCAGCAUUUGAAGCAUGAGUUGCUCAUUACAGAAACAAAAAGAAAAAUAUCAAAUAUUUAACCACAGAAUCCAAAAGCCACCAGUAUAAAAGUAAAAUGGAGAAAGUCAGAUGGGUUUCUGCCUUUUCCAACCAGAUAAAAGACGUCACGGGCUGAGAAAGAAGGCAAGGCCACACACAGAGGACGGCAGGAGGUCACCGUGCCUGUCUUUAGGCAAGAGCGACACUCGCUAUGCGCCAAGAUUCCUUUCAAGCUCUGUGUGGCCAACUCACAGAAACAGAAACAGGAAGCAGAUGGAAAAUACGCGGAAGUGCACAGGAAGUAAACAGGGUCCAGGUAAGGAAACUGAGGCACAGGGAGCUUAGCUGACUCGCCCAAGUUCACACAGCUGCUCAGUGCCAGGGACAGACUUGACGGCAGCUAUCUAACAGCAGGCAGAGUUCACAGGAUUGGCCCUGCCCCAUGAGCUGCAGCAGUGAUGGACGGACGGAUGGAUGUGCAGCAUGGCUUAGAAUCCCCCAGCUCUCUGAGCAUGCGCUAGGAACGAACAACUUGGAUUACGACUGGAAUUUUAGUUUUAAUUACAACCAAAGUCUUGAGUUAUGACUCAAAUGCUGGCCGCUCGUGCUUCCAGACGGUCUCGGAUACAGAUUAACCCUUACAGAGUCCCGGAAGGAGCAUGACAGCAUCCUCUCCUGUGUGGGUUCACUGAGAAAUCCUGAGUCGAUGUCUCUCUAAGGACACUGAGAUCUGCCUGUGUACGUAAGAGAGACUCUGAAGGCUGUGCAGAGGAGCCUGAGCCUUCAUGACCAACUUGAGUUACAACCAGUUGAGUUCGUCAGUCAAGGGUCCGGUGCCUCAGUACCUUCUGCAGCAUACAGUGCUUCGGCCCCUGUGUGGAGUGGCAUACGUACCCAGCACAUCGUCACUCCUCUGCCUCCCCUGCCUCCCUCCACCUCUUCAUCCUCUCCCCAUCUGAAUAAAUCCACCUCCUAC
Molecule: long non-coding RNA, 1051 nt
Filed under: Heterocephalus glaber (naked mole-rat)
Lineage: Eukaryota; Metazoa; Chordata; Mammalia; Rodentia; Bathyergidae
Description: lncRNA (ENSHGLG00000045740.1)
Source: RNAcentral